GGCUUCAUAGCUCAGUUGGUAGAGCAUCGCACUGGUAUUGCGGGGGUCACAGGUUUGACUCCCGUUGAAGCCC
This 73-nucleotide transfer RNA is filed under the name Acropora cervicornis. Its description in RNAcentral is "tRNA-Thr". It matches the Rfam family "tRNA". From Rfam's summary of the family: Transfer RNA (tRNA) molecules are approximately 80 nucleotides in length. Their secondary structure includes four short double-helical elements and three loops (D, anti-codon, and T loops). The record is from RNAcentral. Lineage: Eukaryota; Metazoa; Cnidaria; Anthozoa; Scleractinia; Acroporidae.